This 1589-nucleotide long non-coding RNA is filed under the name Mus musculus (house mouse). RNAcentral describes it as "predicted gene 2788". Lineage: Eukaryota; Metazoa; Chordata; Mammalia; Rodentia; Muridae. The record is from RNAcentral.
GUCCAGGCAGAUGUCGUUAUUCACAGCAGGGUUGGGGUACUUGGGGUACCGCGCUAGGAAUUUGUGGCAUAGCAACCCCAAGCUCUUCUCCUUCCGACUCGGCUGGGAUUUCUCAAAUUCGUCUCCUGAUAAGUGUUCCUGCAGAGGGAAAGGUUCGAGAUGGCUGUAGCAAGCACCCACCUGUGCACUGAUCCGGGCUGCGGACGGAGCGCACGAGCCCGGGUUCCGAUGGAGCACGCACCGAGCCUGCAUCGGGGGAGAUGCUGAAGUUUCUCGCCUGACACACACGUGCACAGGCUCAGAAGGAAGGACUUGUGAAGUGGCCUGAGAACAACCCUCCAAUUCAGCCUCUGCGCUCUAAGCGCACGACCGGGCAUUUACAAAGGGCUUUGGGAUCUUGACCCCCUUUUUCAGGCUUCUUUCAAUACACGAAGUACUGGGGCGAGGGAAGGAUUCCCUAGGUGCCGAAAUCACCGCGAUGCCAAAGCGCACCGUACGCUGCGCUCCCGGUCCCAGAGAACAGGAGAGAGAAGACUUUGUCCUCACUUGGUCUUCCCAGCAUCUAGCCCUGACCAAGGAGAGGAAGGGCUCGGUGAACACUGAUUGGCUAAGGUUCUACCUUAGCAGGCUAUCCUACCAAGUAGCGAGGAUGCUUUUCUCCCCGCCUGAAGCGUCAAGUGCAAUUGUGAACACGCACCAAGUGCUCAGUAAGGGAUGUGAACCUGUUUUGUACAAAUUGGUGGCUUGUUUGGGUUCUUCAGAAUUGUGGCUUCUGAUUCACUGGAGGUGGCUGUGCCCCUACCCCGCAACCCCCUGAAGUGGCUGGCAUUGGUGCAAAUGAGGCUGUUGAACCUGAUCGUGUUCUCUCUGGCCUUGGACCUGAGUGCUGCAGAGAGAGAGAGAGAGGGAGACUCUGAUGGCUCUGAAGAUCAUGGCCCUUCCCAUAUGAGGUUCUAGGCAGUAUUCCUGAGCCGGUCUCUUGCUCACUCCCCAGCCCUUUUGAAUACCCCUUUUCGGUAUGAAUUUGAUGAUCUAAUUUGACUAUCUCUCAAAUGCUCAGGUGUGUUACAGUUUUACUCUUCACUGUAUCAGUUUGUCACACGGUUAAGAGAGCAGGAUCUACCCUUCACUCGGGGUCAUUCUCUGCAUCCUAGCUGAUGUUCAGUGAAAGCUCCAAGGGUUUGUCAAUGUGGAAACUGGUUGGCAGUCAAUCGAUGGUCUCGCAGCCACAGUUAGAGAUGAGCUGCAUCUGGGUCUGCCCAUGUGCUUUUAGAAUAGGCUGAACUUUAUAACACAUUCAAUCUUUGGAAUAAACUGCCACCGUUUUAUUGUUAGUUGAACUAUAUACAAGGUUGCUGGGGUAGGAUAUUUCAGGGGCAGAGUGCUUGCCUAGCAUGCAUGAGACUGUAGGUGGACUCCAUCCCCAGGACCAAAAUAAUAAUUUUAUUCAUAGAGGAAGAUGUUUGCCUGGGUUCAAUGCCCAACAACUCCAGCUUUGGAGGAUCCAAAUGCUUCUGUCUUCUGAGGUCACUAGCAUGGACAUAGCCCCUACCACACAUGUACACACAAUUAAAAAACAAAGCAUAGGA